GGGGAGAAGAAUAAUAUGCAGAGAUGAAUUAUCAUUAUUAUCAUGUUUGUUUCCUGAAGCCUUCAGCAUAAAGCUGAAGCAUCCAAUAUGGUGCCAGUCAUCAAGUUAGCUGUUUUGAAUAGGAACUAAUGGUAGUUUGCCUCCAUAUACAUCAGGGAGCUGGCUCUCAUCAAUGUCAUUAAGCAAAGUGGAUUUCAACUUUUUGUUCUCAACAAAAUUUAUCUUCUUUUUGGU
This 234-nucleotide unclassified non-coding RNA is filed under the name Hevea brasiliensis (rubber tree). The record is from RNAcentral. Lineage: Eukaryota; Viridiplantae; Streptophyta; Magnoliopsida; Malpighiales; Euphorbiaceae.